Molecule: ribosomal RNA, 425 nt
Filed under: uncultured bacterium
Lineage: Bacteria
Description: partial 16S ribosomal RNA
Rfam family: Bacterial small subunit ribosomal RNA
Source: RNAcentral
GUGGGGAAUCUUGCGCAAUGGGCGAAAGCCUGACGCAGCCAUGCCGCGUGAAUGAUGAAGGUCUUAGGAUUGUAAAAUUCUUUCACCGGGGACGAUAAUGACGGUACCCGGAGAAGAAGCUCCGGCUAACUUCGUGCCAGCAGCCGCGGUAAUACGAAGGGGGCUAGCGUUGCUCGGAAUUACUGGGCGUAAAGGGCGCGUAGGCGGACAGCUUAGUCAGAGGUGAAAGCCCAGGGCUCAACCUUGGAAUUGCCUUUGAUACUGGCUGUCUUGAGUUUGGGAGAGGUGAGUGGAACUCCGAGUGUAGAGGUGAAAUUCGUAGAUAUUCGGAAGAACACCAGUGGCGAAGGCGACAUACUGGCUCAUUACUGACGCUGAGGCGCGAAAGCGUGGGGAGCAAACAGGAUUAGAUACCCUAGUAGUCC